This 253-nucleotide ribosomal RNA is filed under the name uncultured bacterium. RNAcentral's name for it is "partial 16S ribosomal RNA". It matches the Rfam family "Bacterial small subunit ribosomal RNA", at positions 524 to 776 of the family's 1533-position model. The record is from RNAcentral.
UACGAAGGGUGCUAGCGUUGUUCGGAAUCACUGGGCGUAAAGGGCGCGUAGGCGGCUUUACAAGUCAGAGGUGAAAGCCUGGAGCUCAACUCCAGAAUUGCCUUUGAAACUGUAAAGCUUGAGUGUCGGAGGGGAUAGCGGAAUUGCUAAUGUAGAGGUGAAAUUCGUAGAUAUUAGCAGGAACACCGGUGGCGAAGGCGGCUAUCUGGACGACAACUGACGCUGAGGCGCGAAAGCGUGGGGAGCAAACAGG